UCUUGACUAGUAUAUCGGUUUAGUACAGCCGCUUGUCAUUUCCGAGCAAGACAAUCGUAAUGUAUUCGCGGCAGAGCUGGGUUCGACUCCCAGGUCGAGAG
This is a non-coding RNA of Mycena alexandri, 101 nucleotides long. Lineage: Eukaryota; Fungi; Basidiomycota; Agaricomycetes; Agaricales; Mycenaceae. The record is from the annotation of a GenBank genome assembly.